CAGCCUUUCGGCGUGAUUAUGUGGAGCGUGAGGAGUUAAACGCCCUCAUGCCUGCAUAUUCGUGUUCUUUGGGUGUACUUACCCGCAUGGUAGGUUAACAUCAAUUUCGAACGUCAUAAAAUGGUUGGAGGAAUGUAGCUUCGAUCUCGUAUUGAAGUGUUAUAGCCUCCGGCAGAUGUGAUGAUCGGGAUUGAGGAUUGCAACGGAUACCCUUCGGGGCUACCCGUCUGAUCUCUGAAAGUUACUCUGGUGCCGAAAGCUCGCUUACGGUCAUCAAAGUUGACGUUCAACAGGUUAGAACGGGAUAAA
This 309-nucleotide ribosomal RNA is filed under the name uncultured Glomus. Its description in RNAcentral is "eukaryotic LSU rRNA". Lineage: Eukaryota; Fungi; Glomeromycota; Glomeromycetes; Glomerales; Glomeraceae. The record is from RNAcentral.